CUAGCAAGCCUGGCAAAUUCAUUUCUGGAAAAAACCAAAGAGAACCCAUGAAACUCUCCUUCUCUCUCCCUCCCAAAUCCUCCAAGUCAAACCCUAAACGCAACCCCUCCUCCGCCACCGCCAACUUCGACGACGGCACCGGAAACAACGCAAACGACGCCGCUUCCAAGCACUUCGUCAGCGAAUUCGAUGCUUCAAAACCCCUAUCCGCCGACCCUAAAGCCCGCGUGAUCGCCCCGAUCCCCAACGAAUGGCGGCCCCACAAGAAGAUGAAGAACAUGGAGCUCCCCAUCACCGAGCCCAACGGCGACGAGCUCCAGUUCGAGGUCGAGACGCUCUCGGUCAACGACGACCCCGACGCCAAGAUUUCGUAUGGUCUCAAUCUUCGGGAGAAAUCGGAAUCCGAGAAUCGGGAGAGGUUGGGGAACGAUGAGCGGCCGAGAUCGAGAGGCGUGGAGGAUACGCUGCUGCAGAAGUUAAAAGACGAUUUGGAGCGGUUGUCGGAUCAUAGGGGGUUGGAGGAGUACGAAGAGAUGCCGGUGGAGGGUUACGGCGAGGCGUUGCUUACCGGGUACGGGUGGUACCCGGGUAGAGGAAUUGGGAAGAAUGCGAAGGAAGAUGUGAAAAUUGUGGAGUAUACUCGGAGUACUGAUAAGCACGGGUUAGGGUUUCUUGCAAAUUCGAAAGAGAAGGAUAGAAAGAAUUCCAAAGAGAAGGAGAAGAGAAAAGAAGGCGAUGUGGGGAAGGAAGUUAGGAUCGUUGCGGGUCGAGACUAUGUGGGUUUGAGAGGUAGGAUUUUGGAGAAAUUGGGUAAUGGGAAACUGGUUUUGAAGCUGUUGAGUAAGAGCAAGGGGCAAGAUGAAGAGGUAGUAAAAGUGAAUGUGGAUGAAGUUGCGGAAUUGGGUUCGAAAGAAGAAGAGAAGUGCUUGAGGAGAUUGAAUGAGACAAAAAGGAAAGUGGGCAGUGAUAGUAAGCCCAGACGAGAGGAGCCGAGGGGUUAUUCGACGUGGCUUGUGAGGAACAUUCGGGUCAGGGUUAUUAGCAAGGACUUGAAAGGUGGGAAAUUGUAUUUGAGAAAAGGAGAGGUGAUGGAUGUUGUUGGACCCUACACCUGUGAUAUAUCUAUGGAUGGGAGUAGGGAGCUUGUGCAGGGGGUGUCCCAGGAUUUUCUUGAGACUGCCCUGCCAAGGCGUGGCGGACCGGUUCUUGUGUUAUCUGGGAAGCAUAAGGGGGUCUAUGGUAGUCUUGUGGAGAAGGAUUCUGACAGAGAGACUGGUGUUGUCAAGGAUUCCGAUACCCAUGCCUUGCUCAAUGUGGGUCUCGAGCAGAUUGCCGAGUUUACUGGUGAUCCCAACGACCUUGGAUAUUGAUUCAUAGUGGUAUUUCAACUUAUCAAGUUGCAGGUGCAUAAACGUUUGUUAUGGACACAUCAUCCAUCCAGGUUGAUACCUUCUGUGUGCAAGAGGCCGUACAUGAGGCCCUGUAAUGGAUAUGUUGGUGGCAUACGGGCAAGGUUGAAUCCCUUUUAGAGGAAGAUUUAGAAAAAAUGAGACGGAGCUAUCAAAGCAGGAGAUGAUCAAAGAAAGCAAAAGAUAGAAGUUCCGCACAGAUUUACUCGAGAACACCUAGUCGUGGUAAUGAAUUCAUAGGGAAGUUGUAGAUCGGAAUGCAACAGGCUUUAUACAAACGAUUUUCUUGAUCUGGAAUUGAGAGCUUGUUGGUUUAUUUGAUGCGGUGAAGAAGCCCGUAAUUAGUUCAGAAAGAAGUUAGUUUGUGUGGUUGAACUUGACCCCACCUUCUGUUUAUUGUUGGAGCGUCGCGCACACGACCACGAUGCCGCCCAUGCAGGCUUCGUGUGGUAAACCCCUCCCGUCCUCUUAUAAUUUGUUCGGGGAUAGUUCUAAUUUCACACCAAGUAAGCCUAAAAAGAAGCAUAAAACUUGUUGCAAGAUGUAAUUUUCCCCAAUAACUUUACGUUGUAAGGCUUGAGCUUGUAUUCUUUUAAUUUAGAGGAAUGGUAAGCCGUUCUCCCAAAAGUGAUACUCUAUGUGAGGGUCGUCAGUAAAAUGCGUAUUGUAGCCUAUUAGAUCAGGCUCUCUAAUAAUAUCGUUGUUGAGCACCUUUUGAGUAUA
Molecule: RNA transcript, 2132 nt
Organism: Pyrus x bretschneideri (Chinese white pear)
Lineage: Eukaryota; Viridiplantae; Streptophyta; Magnoliopsida; Rosales; Rosaceae
Gene name: protein MOS2-like
Exons: 4
Source: RefSeq, a predicted model, not a curated record